GAUGAACGCUGGCGGCGUGCCUAAUACAUGCAAGUCGAGCGAACAGACGAGGAGCUUGCUCCUCUGACGUUAGCGUCGGACGGGGGAGUAACACGUGGAUAACCUACCUAUAAGACUGGGAUAACUUCGGGAAACCGGAGCUAAUACCGGAUAAUAUAUUGAACCGCAUGGUUCAAUAGUGAAAGACGGUUUUGCUGUCACUUAUAGAUGGAUCCGCGCCGCAUUAGCUAGUUGGUAAGGUAACGGCUUACCAAGGCGACGAUGCGUAGCCGACCUGAGAGGGUGAUCGGCCACACAGGAACUGAGACACGGUCCAGACUCCUACGGGAGGCAGCAGUAGGGAAUCUUGCGCAAUGGGCGAAAGCCUGACGGAGCAACGCCGCGUGAGUGAUGAAGGUCUUCGGAUCGUAAAACUCUGUUAGUAGGGAAGAACAAAUGUGUAAGUAACUAUGCACGUCUUGACGGUACCUAAUCAGAAAGCCACGGCUAACUACGUG
Molecule: ribosomal RNA, 497 nt
Filed under: uncultured bacterium
Lineage: Bacteria
Description: partial 16S ribosomal RNA
Rfam family: Bacterial small subunit ribosomal RNA
Source: RNAcentral